This 999-nucleotide ribosomal RNA is filed under the name uncultured organism. RNAcentral describes it as "bacterial SSU rRNA". It matches the Rfam family "Bacterial small subunit ribosomal RNA", at positions 355 to 1375 of the family's 1533-position model. The record is from RNAcentral.
UGGGGAAUAUUGCACAAUGGAGGAAACUCUGAUGCAGCGAUGCCGCGUGAGGGAAGAAGGUUUUAGGAUUGUAAACCUCUGUCUUCAGGGACGAAAAAAGGACGGUACCUGAGGAGGAAGCUCCGGCUAACUACGUGCCAGCAGCCGCGGUAAUACGUAGGGAGCGAGCGUUGUCCGGAAUUACUGGGUGUAAAGGGAGCGUAGGCGGGAUCGCAAGUCAGAUGUGAAAACUAUGGGCUUAACCCAUAAACUGCAUUUGAAACUGUGGUUCUUGAGUGAAGUAGAGGUAAGCGGAAUUCCUAGUGUAGCGGUGAAAUGCGUAGAUAUUAGGAGGAACAUCAGUGGCGAAGGCGGCCUACUGGGCUUUAACUGACGCUGAGGCUCGAAAGCGUGGGGAGCAAACAGGAUUAGAUACCCUGGUAGUCCACGCCGUAAACGAUGAUUACUAGGUGUGGGGGGACUGACCCCUUCCGUGCCGCAGCAAACGCAAUAAGUAAUCCACCUGGGGAGUACGACCGCAAGGUUGAAACUCAAAGGAAUUGACGGGGGCCCGCACAAGCAGUGGAGUAUGUGGAUUAAUUCGAAGCAACGCGAAGAACCUUACCAGGUCUUGACAUCGUAUGCAUAGCUCAGAGAUGAGUGAAAUCUCUUCGGAGACAUAUAGACAGGUGGUGCAUGGUUGUCGUCAGCUCGUGUCGUGAGAUGUUGGGUUAAGUCCCGCAACGAGCGCAACCCUUACUGUUAGUUGCUACGCAAGAGCACUCUAGCAGGACUGCCGUUGACAAAACGGAGGAAGGUGGGGAUGACGUCAAAUCAUCAUGCCCCUUAUGACCUGGGCCUCACACGUACUACAAUGGCUGUAAACAGAGGGAAGCAAAGCCGCGAGGUAGAGCGAACCCCUAAAAGCAGUCUUAGUUCGGAUUGUAGGCUGCAACCCGCCUACAUGAAGUCGGAAUUGCUAGUAAUCGCAGAUCAGCAUGCUGCGGUGAAUACGUUCCC